UUUAAUGAGAGUUUGAUCCUGGCUCAGGACGAACGCUGGCGGCGUGCCUAAUACAUGCAAGUAGAACGCUGAGGUUUGGUGUUUACACUAGACUGAUGAGUUGCGAACGGGUGAGUAACGCGUAGGUAACCUGCCUCAUAGCGGGGGAUAACUAUUGGAAACGAUAGCUAAUACCGCAUAAGAGUAAUUAACACAUGUUAGUUAU
This 205-nucleotide ribosomal RNA is filed under the name Streptococcus agalactiae GB00561. Its description in RNAcentral is "partial 16S ribosomal RNA". It matches the Rfam family "Bacterial small subunit ribosomal RNA", at positions 1 to 200 of the family's 1533-position model. Lineage: Bacteria; Bacillati; Bacillota; Bacilli; Lactobacillales; Streptococcaceae. The record is from RNAcentral.